CAGCCGUAAACUAUGCUCGCUAGGUGUCAGGCAUGGCGCGACCGUGUCUGGUGCCGCAGGGAAGCCGUGAAACGUGCCGCCUGGGAAGUACGGUCGCAAGGCUGAAACUUAAAGGAAUUGGCGGGGGGAGCACCACAACGGGUGGAGCCUGCGGUUUAAUUGGACUCAACGCCGGGAAGCUCACCGGAUAAGACAGCGGAAUGAUUGCCGGGCUGAAGACUCUGCAUGACUAGCUGAGAGGAGGUGCAUGGCGUAGACGUCU
This 262-nucleotide ribosomal RNA is filed under the name uncultured archaeon. Its description in RNAcentral is "partial 16S ribosomal RNA". It matches the Rfam family "Archaeal small subunit ribosomal RNA", at positions 748 to 1009 of the family's 1478-position model. The record is from RNAcentral.